UACGUAGGGUGCGAGCGUUGCCCGGAUUUAUUGGGCGUAAAGGGCGCGUAGGCGGUCACGCACGUCCGUUGUGAAAUCGCUCGGCUCAACUGGGCGGGGUCAGCGGAUACGGCGUGGCUGGAGCAAGCUAGGGGGCAAUGGAAUUCCCGGUGUAGUGGUGGAAUGCGUAGAUAUCGGGAGGAACACCAGUGGCGAAGGCGGUUGCCUGGAGCUUUGCUGACGCUGAUGCGCGAAAGCGCGGGGAGCGAUCCGG
This 253-nucleotide ribosomal RNA is filed under the name uncultured bacterium. RNAcentral's name for it is "partial 16S ribosomal RNA". It matches the Rfam family "Bacterial small subunit ribosomal RNA", at positions 524 to 776 of the family's 1533-position model. The record is from RNAcentral.